This 901-nucleotide ribosomal RNA is filed under the name uncultured organism. RNAcentral's name for it is "bacterial SSU rRNA". It matches the Rfam family "Bacterial small subunit ribosomal RNA", at positions 94 to 1007 of the family's 1533-position model. The record is from RNAcentral.
AGUGGCGCACGGGUGAGUAACGCGUAGGUCAUCUGCCCUUAGGUCAGGGAUAGCCCUUCGAAAGUUGGAUUAAUACCUGAUAAUAUGGCGACAUCAAAGGAUUUAUUCGCCUAAGGAUGAGCCUGCGUUAGAUUAGCUUGUUGGUGAGGUAACGGCUCACCAAGGCGACGAUCUAUAGCCGAGUUGAGAGGCUGAUCGGCCACAUUGGAACUGAGACACGGUCCAGACUCCUACGGGAGGCAGCAGCUAAGAAUCUUCCGCAAUGGGCGCAAGCCUGACGGAGCGACGCCGCGUGAACGAUGAAGGCCUUUCGGGUUGUAAAGUUCUUUUAUAAGAGACGAAUGUCUGGUGUAGGCCAGACUGACUGUAUCUUUUGAAUAAGGUCCGGCUAACUACGUGCCAGCAGCCGCGGUAAUACGUAGGGACCAAGCGUUGUUCGGAAUUAUUGGGCGUAAAGGGUACGUAGGCGGCAUGAUAAGUCAGAUGUGAAACCCUCGGGCUCAACCUGAGGCCUGCGUCUGAUACUGUUGUGCUAGAGUUACUGAGAGGAAGACGGAAUUCCUGGCGUAGGGGUGAAAUCUAUAGAUAUCAGGAAGAACACCUAUUGCGAAGGCAGUCUUCUGGCAGCUAACUGACGCUGAUGUACGAAAGUUAGGGUAGCAAACAGGAUUAGAGACCCUGGUAGUCCUAACCGUAAACGUUGUAUACUAGGUGGUUGAAGUAUUGAUCCUUUGACUGCCGGAGCUAACGCAUUAAGUAUACCGCCUGGGGAGUAUGCCGGCAACGGUGAAACUCAAAGGAAUUGACGGGGGCCCGCACAAGCAGUGGAGCAUGUUGUUUAAUUCGAAAAUACGCGAGAAACCUUACCAGGUCUUGACGUAUACCUGAAUGGUGUGGAAAC